UGGUGCACAACUGGCGAUUCGAUAUGGUGGUGUUGGUUGUAGGAAUCGUGGCAGCGAUGGCACUAGUGGUGGAUGGCGAUAAUAGUGAUUUUGGAUUUGCCAUGGUUUUUGAUCCAUCAUGGUUUUGCUUGAUUUUUGUUUAUUGGUGAUGAUUUUUUCCAUGGUGUGGUAAUGUUGGGAUGGGUUUAUUGACGGUAGUGGUGGUGGAUUGAGCACUACUGAUGGUGGAUCUAGAGUUGGUGGAGAUGAAUUUGGCGAUGGUGGUGAUGAUGGUCGUGG
This 279-nucleotide long non-coding RNA is filed under the name Olea europaea (common olive). Its description in RNAcentral is "long non-coding RNA (OEUR_LNC003754)". The record is from RNAcentral. Lineage: Eukaryota; Viridiplantae; Streptophyta; Magnoliopsida; Lamiales; Oleaceae.